AAUCAACGCUGGCGGCGUGCCUCAGACAUGCAAGUCGAACGAUUAAAGCUCUCUUCGGAGAGUGUAUAGAGUGGCGCACGGGUGAGUAACACGUAAGUAAUCUACCCUCGAGUGGGGAAUAACGUCCGGAAACGGACGCUAAUACCGCAUAAUGCAGCGGCACCGCAAGGUGACAGUUGUUAAAGGAGAAAUUCGCUUGAGGAGGAGCUUGCGGCAGAUUAGCUUGUUGGUAGGUAACGGCUUACCAAGGCUACGAUCUGUAACCGGUCUUAGAGGACGGUCGGUCACACUGACACUGAAUAAUGGGUCAGACUCCUACGGGAGGCAGCAGUCGGGAAUUUUGGGCAAUGGGCGAAGGCCUGACCCAGCAACGCCGCGUGAAGGAUGAAGUAUUUCGGUAU
This 401-nucleotide ribosomal RNA is filed under the name uncultured bacterium. RNAcentral describes it as "bacterial SSU rRNA". It matches the Rfam family "Bacterial small subunit ribosomal RNA", at positions 32 to 424 of the family's 1533-position model. The record is from RNAcentral.